This 71-nucleotide transfer RNA is filed under the name Salmo salar (Atlantic salmon). It matches the Rfam family "tRNA". From Rfam's summary of the family: Transfer RNA (tRNA) molecules are approximately 80 nucleotides in length. The record is from Rfam by way of RNAcentral. Lineage: Eukaryota; Metazoa; Chordata; Actinopteri; Salmoniformes; Salmonidae.
GCAUUGGUGGUUCAGUGGUAGAAUUCUCGCCUGCUACGCAGGAGGCCCGGGUUCAUUUCCCGGCCAAUGCG